GACGAACGCUGGCGGCGUGCUUAACACAUGCAAGUCGAACGAUGAAGCACCAGCUUGCUGGUGUGGAUUAGUGGCGAACGGGUGAGUAACACGUGAGUAACCUGCCCCUCACUCUGGGAUAAGCCUGGGAAACUGGGUCUAAUACUGGAUACGACCGAUCUCCGCAUGGAGUUUUGGUGGAAAGUUUUUGUGGUGGGUGAUGGACUCGCGGCCUAUCAGCUUGUUGGUUGGGUAGUGGCCUACCAAGGCGACGACGGGUAGCCGGCCUGAGAGGGCGACCGGCCACACUGGGACUGAGACACGGCCCAGACUCCUACGGGAGGCAGCAGUGGGGAAUAUUGCACAAUGGGCGAAAGCCUGAUGCAGCGACGCCGCGUGAGGGAUGACGGCCUUCGGGUUGUAAACCUCUUUCACCAGGGACGAAGCUAACGUGACGGUACCUGGAGAAGAAGCACCGGCUAACUACGUG
RNAcentral lists this ribosomal RNA (469 nucleotides) under uncultured bacterium. RNAcentral's name for it is "partial 16S ribosomal RNA". It matches the Rfam family "Bacterial small subunit ribosomal RNA", at positions 28 to 507 of the family's 1533-position model. The record is from RNAcentral.